UAGAGGGAACGGCCCAUUAUCCACCGAGUUUCAAAGCUGGAAACAACAGAUUUUUCAUGAAUAGGAAUCUAUUUUUGUUACAUUUGGAAGCAAAAGUGAAGUUCUUUACCCUACAAUGUUGCUUGUUUCUAUUAUGUCUUUUUAUCCCCUCGUAGUUGGUCGGAUUGUUUAUGUGCGUUAAGUUGAGAAACAACCUCUCUACCUCCACAAGAUAGUGGUAAGGUAUGCAUACAUUCUACCCU
This 242-nucleotide long non-coding RNA is filed under the name Solanum tuberosum (potato). RNAcentral's name for it is "long non-coding RNA (STUB_LNC011815)". The record is from RNAcentral. Lineage: Eukaryota; Viridiplantae; Streptophyta; Magnoliopsida; Solanales; Solanaceae.